GGGCAGUUAGCUCAGUGGUAGAGCGUCUGCCUUACAAGCAGAGGGUCACUGGUUCAAGUCCAGUACUGCCCA
Molecule: transfer RNA, 72 nt
Filed under: Costaria costata
Lineage: Eukaryota; Phaeophyceae; Laminariales; Agaraceae
Also listed under: 42 other names
Description: tRNA-Val
Rfam family: tRNA
About the family: Transfer RNA (tRNA) molecules are approximately 80 nucleotides in length. Their secondary structure includes four short double-helical elements and three loops (D, anti-codon, and T loops).
Source: RNAcentral